UAAACGACUCUCGGCAACGGAUAUCUUGGCUCACGCAUCGAUGAAGAACGUAGCAAAAUGCGAUACUUGGUGUGAAUUGCAGAAUCCCGUGAACCAUCGAGUUUUUGAACGCAAGUUGCGCCCGAAGCCAUUUGGUCGAGGGCACGUCUGCCUGGGCGUCACGC
RNAcentral lists this ribosomal RNA (164 nucleotides) under Leuzea karatavica. Its description in RNAcentral is "Rhaponticum karatavicum 5.8S ribosomal RNA". It matches the Rfam family "5.8S ribosomal RNA". Rfam says of the family: 5.8S ribosomal RNA (5.8S rRNA) is a component of the large subunit of the eukaryotic ribosome. It is transcribed by RNA polymerase I as part of the 45S precursor that also contains 18S and 28S rRNA. The record is from RNAcentral. Lineage: Eukaryota; Viridiplantae; Streptophyta; Magnoliopsida; Asterales; Asteraceae.